Molecule: long non-coding RNA, 296 nt
Filed under: Solanum tuberosum (potato)
Lineage: Eukaryota; Viridiplantae; Streptophyta; Magnoliopsida; Solanales; Solanaceae
Description: long non-coding RNA (STUB_LNC007378)
Source: RNAcentral
GUGAAAAAAGUGACAACAAUGCAUUCAAAACGAAAAAUAGUUAGAAUGACUUAAAUUACUAAACUUUCAAUCACUAAAUUUACUAUCAAUAAAGCUUUAAAAUUCACUAUAUUAGCCUAGAAGGAAGAGACAAUAACAUUUUCAGUCCCACAAGAAUUGUCAUAGACACUCAUAUACAUGAAAUCAAUAAGAUAAAUGUUUCAUCUUAGGCAUUUUUGUUUUCAAUAAGUAAAUUAUAAAGAAAUUUUAAUGAAAAUAUGUAUAAGAUCUUUAAAAUUGUUUAUAAAAACAAUCUA